Aegilops tauschii subsp. strangulata is the source of this 1446-nucleotide non-coding RNA. Lineage: Eukaryota; Viridiplantae; Streptophyta; Magnoliopsida; Poales; Poaceae. The record is from RefSeq and is a predicted model, not a curated record.
UCGCCUCGUCCCCGAACGCACGCACGGCCGCACCUCUCUUAUCCUUUUCUUCGUUCCCCACUCUCUCGCCAUUUCUUCAUCGCACAUGGGACAGAGGAGCGAGAGAGAGCCCUUGCGCAGGCGGCGAGGCGGCCGGCGGCGAGCCAAUCGGCAGUUAUGCAGCCUGCGCCGUACCCGAAGCUGUGCGAUGUCAGGAGAGGAGGCGUGUGGCGGCGAGGCGAGGAGCGGGAAGAGGCGGGUGAAGCUGCUGUGAUUCGAAUCCUCGAUGGUGGUCGGCGGAGGCAGCAGUCGGCCAAGAUGCCGGCGCGGGGCGCCGUGUUGACGGUGGAGGAGGGAGCCUCGCGCGCGUGGUGAUUGCCGGUCACAGAGGCCGAGGUGCUAGGGGUGGAGAUUGAUGGGCUCGUCGUCCCCGCCGGCCGCCGCCGGCCCCGUCCUCACGCUCCAGCUGGAUCGACCGAUGGAGCUCUUCUGCGCCACCACCAGCCCCGCGGGCGCGCAACCCCGCCACAUCGGUGCGGCCGGACCGACGCUGCCUAUGCGACUACGUCGAGGACGGACUCGUGUGUCAAGGAUGACGAGGAGGAGAACCACGCCGCGGCCCCGUGUUUGGUGCCUACCAAGGGAUCUCCGCCCGCCCCACGUCCUAGCGCGCCUUCGCCCCGCGUGGUCCUGGGCUCCACCAUCGCCUUGUGCAGAUGGGGAUCUGCCACGCGACGGUGCCGUCGGGGCAGGGGUAGCUUGAUUACAAGCUCGACGGUGACGCACAUAUUUGGUCCUCGAGCUGACUACGGCAACAACGUAGCAGUGGUUGGAGCCUUCCACCUUCUUUCACCAGUGAGAACACGAUUGCUCCUUGCCUUCGUCGGUCGUUCGGUGGAGUGAGGGGAGGAUCCUAGUUCUCGGCCAUCUAUGUGGUUUAAGUCAUUCAUAUCUCUAGCGUUGCUUCCACAUUGGAGGUACUUUGCCUCUCUCUCUCUCUCUCCCUCCCUCCCUCCCCUCCCUCUCUCUCUGACUGGCAUCACGGGGGCAUUUACCUUCUUUGGCAGGGGUGGCCUAUGCGGUGUUCAAAGCUUCAUCUGUUGGAAACUUGGUUGUCUUAGUGUGGAGUGCGGGUAUGUUGUAUGUAUCCUUCUGCAGAUUUGCCUUGGAGGCCCGCGAGAAGUUCCGGCAGGCAGCGAGGAAUGGUAGCAGAAUGAUGGUAGCACGUACAUGUGGAGGAGAGGCCGAUCAUGUCAUGGUCUUUCAGAGUGUUGUGGACUGGAGCACCUUUGCCGGCAGCGGAAGAGAUCAUCAGCAGCGAGAGCAGCGCGGCCAAGAGCAAGGCCGCCUUGUUGUUCUUCAUCGCCGCGUCUGCGAGCGUGGCGCGUGAUCAGUGCGUGCGUGUUUAUGUGUGGAUCACCAGAUGGGUGGGAACAGAAGGGAGCUGCAUCGUCUUCUGCCCGGCCG